Molecule: ribosomal RNA, 1315 nt
Filed under: Athetis pallidipennis
Lineage: Eukaryota; Metazoa; Arthropoda; Insecta; Lepidoptera; Noctuidae
Description: 16S ribosomal RNA
Source: RNAcentral
AAAAUUUUUAAUAAAAUAUUUUAAAGGGGGGGUUAAAGUAUAUUUAUAGAAAAAAUUAAUUAAUUUAUAGUUAAAUAGUAUUGUGAAAGAAUUUUGAAAUAUGUGAAAAUAAAAUUAAAAAAAAGUAAUUUUUGUUUAGUGUAUCUUGGGUAUCAGAGUUUAUUAAAAAAAAUUAUUAAAUAAUAAAUUCUCGAAUUUAAAAGAGAUAAUUAAUUAAUAAAGUUAUUGUAGCAUAAAUAUUUUAAAUAAUUAAUUGGAAAUGAAAUGUUAAUCGUUUUUAAAUAUAUCUAGUUUUUUUAGAAAAAAAUUUAAUUUUAUGUUAAUAAAAAAAAAAAUUAAUUAAAUAAUUUUUUUUUUUAUUAACAUUAUAUUUUAAGGGAUAAGCUUUAAUUUAAAUUUAUAUAAAUAAAAUUAAAAAUUAAAUUGAAAAUUUUAUGAUUUAUAUUGUUAAAAAAAUUUAAUUUAUUAUAAAUAAUUUCAUUUAAAAUAAAAUUUAAUAAAAUUUUAUAUAUUUAUAAAAAAAGAAUUUUUAAUAAGUUUAAAUUUGAUAUAAUGAUAAAAUUAGUAUAUGUAAAAUAAUUAUAAAUAAUAUAAAUUACACUAUAUAUUAUAAUUAAUUAAAAGGAAUUCGGCAAAAAGUUAUAUUCACUUGUUUAUCAAAAACAUGUCUUUUUGAAAAUAAUAUAAAGUCUAAUCUGCCCACUGAUAAAAUAUUAAAGGGCUGCAGUAUAUUGACUGUACAAAGGUAGCAUAAUCAUUAGUCAUUUAAUUGAUGACUUGUAUGAAAGAUUGGAUGAAAUAUAAACUGUCUCUUAAUUAAAUGUAGAAUUUAAUUUUUUAAUUAAAAAGUUAAAAUAAUUUAAAAAGACGAGAAGACCCUAUAGAGUUUUAUAAAUUUAUUAAUUAAGAUUAUAUAUUUAUAAAAAAAAAUUAAAAUCAAUAAAUUUAUUUUGUUGGGGUGAUAAAAAAAUAAAAAAAACUUUUUUUAUAAGUGAACAUAUAUAAAUGAUUAAAUGAUCCAUUAAUAAUGAUUAUAAGAAAAAAUUACCUUAGGGAUAACAGCGUAAUUUUUUUUUUUAGUUCUUAUAAAAAAAAAAGUUUGCGACCUCGAUGUUGGAUUAAGAUAAAAUUUAAAUGCAGUAGUUUAAAAUUUUUGAUCUGUUCGAUCAUUAAAAUCUUACAUGAUCUGAGUUCAAACCGGUGUAAGCCAGGUUGGUUUCUAUCUUUUAAUAAUUAAAAUAUUUUAGUACGAAAGGAUUAAAUAUUUAAAUUAAAUUUUUUAUUUUGAAUUUUAUUAAAAUAAUUUAAUAUAAUA